GAUGAACGCUGGCGGCGUGCCUAAUACAUGCAAGUCGAGCGAACAGACGAGGAGCUUGCUCCUCUGACGUUAGCGGCGGACGGGUGAGUAACACGUGGAUAACCUACCUAUAAGACUGGGAUAACUUCGGGAAACCGGAGCUAAUACCGUAUAAUAUAUUGAACCGCAUGGUUCAAUAGUGAAAGACGGUUUUGCUGUCACUUAUAGAUGGAUCCGCGCCGCAUGAGCUAGUUGGUAAGGUAACGGCUUACCAAGGCAACGAUGCGUAGCCGACCUGAGAGGGUGGUCGGCCACACGGGAACUGAGACACGCACCAGACUCCUACGGGACGCCGCAGUAGGGAAUCUUCCGCAAUGGGCGAAAGCAUGACGGAGCAAGGGCGAGUGAGUGAUGACGGUGUUCGGAUCGUGAAACCCUGUUAUUAGUGAAGAACAAAUGUGUAAGUAAAUAUACACGUCUUGACGGUACUUAAUCAGAAAGCCACGGCUAACUACGUG
Molecule: ribosomal RNA, 497 nt
Filed under: uncultured bacterium
Lineage: Bacteria
Description: partial 16S ribosomal RNA
Rfam family: Bacterial small subunit ribosomal RNA
Source: RNAcentral